GACGAACCGAGCGAACGUUGUUCGGAAUCACUGGGCUUAAAGGGCGCGUAGGCGGACUAUCAAGUCUGGGGUGAAAUCCCGCGGCUCAACCGUGGAACUGCCUCAGAUACUGACGGUCUCGAGGGAGGUAGGGGCAUGCGGAACUGUAGGUGGAGCGGUGAAAUGCGUUGAUAUCUACAGGAACUCCGGUGGCGAAAGCGGCGCGCUGGACCUCUUCUGACGCUGAGGCGCGAAAGCUAGGGGAGCAAACGGG
This 253-nucleotide ribosomal RNA is filed under the name uncultured bacterium. RNAcentral's name for it is "partial 16S ribosomal RNA". It matches the Rfam family "Bacterial small subunit ribosomal RNA", at positions 524 to 776 of the family's 1533-position model. The record is from RNAcentral.